This is a long non-coding RNA of Micropterus dolomieu (smallmouth bass), 5272 nucleotides long. RefSeq lists it as uncharacterized. The record is from RefSeq and is a predicted model, not a curated record. The transcript is spliced from 2 exons. NCBI's taxonomy places the organism in Eukaryota, Metazoa, Chordata, Actinopteri, Centrarchiformes, Centrarchidae.
CACUGCAUCAUCACCACCCAUUACUUUAGAGUUUGGUAUUUCUUCUGUUCACUCUCUUUGUAUUUUUGUUAAUUGAUAAAUAUAACCUUUUUUCAUGUCUAUUUUUGAAAGCAUUCUUACUUUACAGCAUUGUUUCCACACCUGCCUAAACUCUUUGCACAGAACUGUAGACUCAAGACUCUUUAUCUUAUUUUUACAGUAUUGCCAAACAAAACAAAAGGAGCAGUUUAACACAAAUUCUUGUUCAGGAUGUGAGCCCUUGCAUUAAUUUGACUUUGUCUUACCUGCAUGAUGCCGUUGGCUGAAUGCUGGAUGAAAAGAUCGAGGAUCCCAUCAUCAUUGAAGUGUCCAGGGGCUGGUUGGCUGUGACAGGCAAAGAAAUAUUUUAGGGAAGUAUCACAAAAUUCUGACAAACGACUUACUUUGUUUUCAUCAGUUAAAAAGCUUAAACAGUGUUUUCAUGUUGGGAUUUACGGUACAUUAAUGACUUAAUUUGAUUCAAAGUAUAAGAUAAAAUAUAAGACUGUAAGCUGACUACACGCCAACUUUGAUAACCUCAGAUGAUUCUCUGUAUUCUUGUCAUAACAGUAGCAUUGUUGGCAGUGACAGGCAUGUAAAAGUAACUCAGUCGGUGGCGACAUAGUGAUUCGCGGGGCUUCACCUGUGAAUGGGAGCCGAGUUGAAAGUCCAUUCUUUACGUAUGUCCCUCUGUCUGAGCACUGACAGUUUGCUGGAUCCAAACACCAGCACCCAGUCGCUUUUGGAGGCUUUAAGGUUGGAAAGCGUGUCCAGGCUGUUGUGGUAGUUGCCAAAACCAGCCACAAGAGGGAGCAGGAACUCCACACGCUCAGAUCCUCUAGAAAGACAACAAAGUUGUGAUUUUGGCUUAUAUCAGUCGUAAAUUGUAUAAUAAGCCGGUAGUAAACAAGUCCGUGUCAUCUUUUUUCCCUGGAAAUUGGAGACCACGUUUCCCCAGUAAUCAGGAUUUCUUAGUUUAACCUAAAUCUAAAAUCUGCACUCAUACAGACAUUCAGGUGUCCCACUUGUAGCAGGUCAUACCAAGUGAUUAAAGGUUAUUUAUUAUUUAACACAGAAGCCUCUGUAUAGAGCCAUGUGCCAGUCAAUGAGGUGUACCUGUAAAUGUGUAUGAAGGAGGAGGAAUUGCUUUUCUUGAGUGCCUCCCAUCCUGGAUCCUUCCUUCUCAGUUCUUCAGUUAUGGGCAUUUUGCCAGUGGCACGAAAGUAGAUAUCACGCAGAGAGAUGGCCUCUACGUUACCUGAGGAAAAAGGCAAUGACACAAAGUCGUGUAUCUAUUGCAGACAAACGUGGUGACUGAGUCCCUUUCACAGUGAUGUUAAGACCUCUAUACUGCCGGUUGAUUCCUUUACCUAGUCCAAAUAAGAUGUAGUAUGCCUCAAGUUGUGUCUCGUGCAGCAAAGGACCAAUCAGCUUUCCUUGUCCAGUGAGGUUGAAAGGCACGGGACGUCCGAGCUUUGCCCCCGUCAGCCCAGAGAUCAAGGUCAGGGAGAGAUCCAAAGACUGAAAACGAAUACGGCAGAAAUAGGGUUGUAGUCACUGAAUGCAAAGCUCUGGGAACAUCAUUGUGUUGACUUUCAGCUCUUGAUCCCUUAUGACAAACUAAUAUACCAUUGUAUGAAACAUAGACGCUAUUAUGAGACUGUCAGCGGAAGCACAACUUUAUUUAGCUGUAGGAUAUAUGAGAGUCGGCAGCUGUGAAAUUUCAAAACAACUUAAAUGUGUGUCCCUCUAUAAACAAGAGAAUGAGUGAAAUUCAUAUCUAUCAAUCUAUAAACUGGAUUGUUUGAUUAAAAGGACUUAAUAGAUGCACUCAAGCAAAUCAGCUGAAAUACAACCAAGAGACUCACAAUCAAGUGUUUUAGAUCAAAGUAUUAUCAGAAUAGUAAGAAGUGACUUUAUUUGUAUACUACUAGUAGAAAUGAUAAAACAGACUAUGUCAUUUUAGAGUGUAAUCAUUGUGUUUCACACAGUGCAGUUGUGCUGCAGUGCAAGUUAAGUGCCUCGGUGUAACUUUAUAUAUAUGUUCAGGAGGAAGAGAGGGGUGUGGCUGUCAUAGCUAUACCUCAUCUGCAGGCAGGGUGGCUAUCAGCAGAUCUGGGACCGAGUCACCCUGGAGGUCUGGAAGUAACACCGCCUGGGAUUCAAUGUUCUUAAGCUGCACCGACCACAAGUUCGACCCUGGGGAGCGAAAGGAGAACUCUUUGACUCGGUUUUAAAUGGAUUUCAUUGCGACAGGGGGUCACCUUUACUGACCUGUUCUCACAUGGAGUUUAACCUAUUGACAGGGUGCGAAUUACAGGAGAGCCAGGAGGAGCCAGGCUCCUCUUAAUAAGACGUGAGCUCCCUAAAUACAUGGUUUGUGAAAAGUUGGAGUGGGUGCUACUUUUGCCAUGCAUUUCUAUUUUUCUGUGUCUUUAUCAUAAAGGAUCACCCGUAGAGUCAGGCUAUUUACUGAUGUAUGACUCAUCACUAACUCACUUUAAAGAGACCAACAGGCAUGCUGUUCUUGUCGUCACCACUGAAGCGUGGCGGUGCAAUAAACUUCACUCUCUUUAACUCAAAGAUCAGGGGGAAAAAACACUUUCUCAGUCCCACCCAUGCCCAAACUCCCUUUGGUAAGUUUCGUCCCAACACCCUUUAUUGUUCCCCCCAUGAAAAAAAAUAAAAACCCAACAAGUGAAACCAUGGUAUAGUUCGCCCACCGCCUAUUGGCUUACCUCUUUUGUCUGAAUGGGGAGCUGGAGGCUGAGAGAAAUUUAGCUCAAAUAUCUGUAUUGUUUUGCACAUGAGCAUUCAGAACAACCAGACAACAGACGAAGACGAUCAGGUACAGUGCUUCUACACGGGAAAAAUAGUGGACUAGACAUAGCCAGUGGCUUGAUUUCUAACCUGUGGUGCCAUUGACUGCCAUGAGGAUGGAUUUGCCAAUGAGGAGGACCACAGGUGAGGGCUGGGCGCUGUACUGCAGACCACACUGGAUGUACAUCACAGACUCGCGCAUGACUUUCCUCCAGAGCACCUGGCCGCUGACUGCUGACAGGGCCACCGCACUGUAAACUGGGUGGAAGGAAAGAUGCAGUGAAUCAAUAAAACCAGGAAAAACACAAAAGCAGAAAAGGUUAAAGAAGGAGACAUUAAAGUUGAAAUUUUUGGCUCAGGACAAGCAGGAUAAAAUCAGGAGAGAGUCUUGUUACAUCAUUCAGCACAGUAGCUACCUAUCAUGUAGCGCUCAGGAGGACACAUGCACACGACAAGUCUGUUUUUCCACCAUUCUCUCUUUCCCUUAUUAUCUCAAAGGCCUCUAUUUAUAAUAAAACACCUGACAGGGUAGAAACAAACCAGGCCAAGCUUUUUCAAAGAAUUGUUCACAUACUUUUGUUUCCUUGUGUAGGAUGGGUGUCAUUGGUCCAUUCGGUAACACCCAGAAACACAUCCUCCACCGAAUCCCCAUCGACGUCCCACAGCGCCAGUGCAGGUGGAGUGACACCUGGACGGAAAAAAAUAUAUAACAAAUGAAUGGCAUCCACUAAUAGAGUGCACGUCAGUGUUUGACUGGAGCUAAAAGUCUACCGACCGGUUUAACAACUUUCUGCAUAAGGUUGUAUUAAAGUGUUUUGUCCACCUACAUUUUGAAUCAGCAGGGGGGGAAAUGGGGGAAGUAAAUGUGUGAAUCACAUGUCUUGGCUCAGUUGUCCAUGUUUGUUUUCUAAAAUACUGGUGAUUAAAGUGCAGGCAUUAAAGCCACAGUGCCACUCUGCAACACGUUCGUAGCGCAUGCUGAAACCGAACACAUGGUAGACAGAGUGGUGCUCACAAUCAGGUAUAAUUACACGGACAAGAGACUCCCAAGUAAGUCUUCAUAAAGUGAGCGUUAUUAGAGUAUUUUAUUUUCUUACUUUCAUUUCAUGCUAAAUGUAAAUACUCUUCAGUUAUUUUGCUACUGGAAAUGUAGCUGCAGUGACCCUCUCUGUACCUCCUGCGUCUCCCAGUGCUCUCUCCCACUGCAGCCUCUUUUCCAGAUCUCCCUUCUGGCACGGGAUCAGGAACGCACACAGCAGCACGAGCAGUGUGGCGCAGACCAGCGGCACCAGGAAGAACGCACUCCGGACAGCAUUCUUCAUCCUCAUCUUCUUUUCUUCCGCGUCAGUACUGUGAACCCCGAGCCCAGUGCCCCCCAGCGGCCCAGGCCCCCCUCUUGUCUCCCCAGCCCUGUCCCUGCCCGAGUCCCUGUUGCUCCAGUACUGCAUGCCUUUCAUGUCGUCUCUGUCCCGUCUGGAUUUGCUGGGGAGUCGCUCCCUCCACACGUCCUCUUCUUCCUCCUCGUCCUCCUGUGCCUCGUCUUGGGCCCCCACAAGUCUCCCAGAUCUGCCGCCCCGCACCUUUGAGGGACCCGUGCCGAGGCAGCUGUCCCUGCCAAGGCCAUUACGGGGGUAGUUGAGCACGAGGUCGUCCUCUUCGCUGUCGUCGUCGCUGUCUGCUUGGGUGAGGGGGUCGUACUCCCCAAGCUCGGAGCCCUUCUUCCCUGCAGAGACACAGAGGCUGCUCGUCAGGAUCAACUGAGUCAGACAGCUCAGUAUAUGGUGGCUGAACAUUAGCUAGCAGCUAGCUGAAAGGCAGAAGACAACGGAAAGAUGCGCUGCUCCUCCGCACACACAGAAACCCACAUCUGUCUUAAACUACAUCCUUUGGAAAACACGUCCUUUAAUCUGGGACGACAUGACACAGAUGCUGACUGUCUGAGAGACAGCGCAUCAAAUGAAUCAACUGUGUAUGAGAGCAGAGCAGCCGCAGCAGUACAGGACCCUCACAGACCACCUCCUCCAAACACAUGAGGAUGGUUUCAGUAAAAUGUCAGCUGAAAUGUUUCAUCUAUCUAUCUGUGUGGAUGAAAAGCGUGUAGCGCAUCUUACCGGGCAGUUUGAGAGCACGGGACAGAGCUGCAGCCAUUUCUCUUCUCUGCUGCUAACGGAUCCGCGCGACAGCAGCGACGUGAGGCAGCGGCGAUGAACAGCGAGAGUACAUCGACCCAGCACUUCGGAUCUGCCCUACUGCAUUCUGGGACUUCGAGUUUUUCUUGUUUUGAUGUUUGAUUCUCAUGCCAAAUAUUUGUAACAAACAAAAAACUAAGCUUUAUAUGUAAACUUAUUAAAUUAUAUUAGGGUUCAGGAUUUCAAUUCAAUACAAAUCAACAGUCCCGUAAAUUACAUAUUUAAAAUAAAUGUUGUUCAACUAA